This 74-nucleotide transfer RNA is filed under the name Planctomycetota bacterium. RNAcentral describes it as "Planctomycetes bacterium tRNA-Asp". It matches the Rfam family "tRNA". Rfam says of the family: Transfer RNA (tRNA) molecules are approximately 80 nucleotides in length. Their secondary structure includes four short double-helical elements and three loops (D, anti-codon, and T loops). Further hydrogen bonds mediate the characteristic L-shaped molecular structure. tRNAs have two regions of fundamental functional importance: the anti-codon, which is responsible for specific mRNA codon recognition, and the 3' end, to which the tRNAs corresponding amino acid is attached (by aminoacyl-tRNA synthetases). tRNAs cope with the degeneracy of the genetic code in two manners: having more than one tRNA (with a specific anti-codon) for a particular amino acid; and 'wobble' base-pairing, i.e. permitting non-standard base-pairing at the 3rd anti-codon position. Lineage: Bacteria; Pseudomonadati; Planctomycetota. The record is from RNAcentral.
GGAGACGUAGCUCAAUUGGUUAGAGCACUUGCCUGUCACGCAAGAGGUCGAGGGUUCGAGUCCCUUCGUCUUCG